RNAcentral lists this ribosomal RNA (524 nucleotides) under Enterobacter hormaechei subsp. steigerwaltii. Its description in RNAcentral is "partial 23S ribosomal RNA". It matches the Rfam family "Bacterial large subunit ribosomal RNA", at positions 669 to 1191 of the family's 2925-position model. Lineage: Bacteria; Pseudomonadati; Pseudomonadota; Gammaproteobacteria; Enterobacterales; Enterobacteriaceae. The record is from RNAcentral.
AAGGGAAACCGAGUCUUAACUGGGCGUUAAGUUGCAGGGUAUAGACCCGAAACCCGGUGAUCUAGCCAUGGGCAGGUUGAAGGUUGGGUAACACUAACUGGAGGACCGAACCGACUAAUGUUGAAAAAUUAGCGGAUGACCUGUGGCUGGGGGUGAAAGGCCAAUCAAACCGGGAGAUAGCUGGUUCUCCCCGAAAGCUAUUUAGGUAGCGCCUCGUGAACUCAUCUUCGGGGGUAGAGCACUGUUUCGGCUAGGGGGCCAUCCCGGCUUACCAACCCGAUGCAAACUACGAAUACCGAAGAAUGUUAUCACGGGAGACACACGGCGGGUGCUAACGUCCGUCGUGAAGAGGGAAACAACCCAGACCGCCAGCUAAGGUCCCAAAGUCAUGGUUAAGUGGGAAACGAUGUGGGAAGGCACAGACAGCCAGGAUGUUGGCUUAGAAGCAGCCAUCAUUUAAAGAAAGCGUAAUAGCUCACUGGUCGAGUCGGCCUGCGCGGAAGAUGUAACGGGGCUAAACCAUG